This 209-nucleotide unclassified non-coding RNA is filed under the name Hevea brasiliensis (rubber tree). The record is from RNAcentral. Lineage: Eukaryota; Viridiplantae; Streptophyta; Magnoliopsida; Malpighiales; Euphorbiaceae.
UUCUUCAAGUGCGGCCCUACUACAAACUCAACCUAAUCCUUCUUCCCCUUUCCCAUCUCCGACACCAUCCACGUCUACCACCAUCCCAACUCCAACCUCGCAUGGCAAUGCCAAUCUGAACUCUUCCAACUCGCCUGCUAAUAUGCCUGGGAUGCAACAUCAGACGACACAGACCCCAGAGACUGAUCCGACUGAUUCCCAGAGUUCGG